This is a long non-coding RNA of Etheostoma cragini (Arkansas darter), 112 nucleotides long. RefSeq lists it as uncharacterized. NCBI's taxonomy places the organism in Eukaryota, Metazoa, Chordata, Actinopteri, Perciformes, Percidae. The transcript has 3 exons. The record is from RefSeq and is a predicted model, not a curated record.
CAUUUUUGUAAAAAAAAAAGGUGCUCACCUGUGGUCUUUUCAUAGUGCCUACUUCCUGAUUAAAGUGGUAACAAUUAACCAUUGAAGUGUUUGGCCAGGUGGCACAUAUAUU